This 280-nucleotide ribosomal RNA is filed under the name Meloidogyne naasi. RNAcentral describes it as "partial 18S ribosomal RNA". It matches the Rfam family "Eukaryotic small subunit ribosomal RNA", at positions 1546 to 1831 of the family's 1831-position model. Lineage: Eukaryota; Metazoa; Nematoda; Chromadorea; Rhabditida; Meloidogynidae. The record is from RNAcentral.
GUGAUCCAUCAAAUGAAACACAUAAAGAGACCGCAGCGGUCCCACAGCCCUUACACUUGCCCGUUCACCACCAUAAAUUCCACAAAAACAUUUGAUUACGUCCCUGCCCUUUGUACACACCGCCCGUCGCUGCCCGGGACUGAGCCAUUUCGAGAAAUUUGGGGACCGUUAAUUAAACAUUUAUUUGUUUUUUUGAUGGAAACCAAUUUAAUCGCAGUGGCUUGAACCGGGCAAAAGUCGUAACAAGGUAGCUGUAGGUGAACCUGCUGCUGGAUCAUUA